AUUGAACGCUGGCGGCAGGCUUAACACAUGCAAGUCGAGCGGAGUGAUGGUGCUUGCACUAUCACUUAGCGGCGGACGGGUGAGUAAUGCUUAGGAAUCUGCCUAUUAGUGGGGGACAACAUCUCGAAAGGGAUGCUAAUACCGCAUACGUCCUACGGGAGAAAGCAGGGGAUCACUUGUGACCUUGCGCUAAUAGAUGAGCCUAGGUCGGAUUAGCUAGUUGGUGGGGUAAAGGCCUACCAAGGCGACGAUCUGUAGCGGGUCUGAGAGGAUGAUCCGCCACACUGGGACUGAGACACGGCCCAGACUCCUACGGGAGGCAGCAGUGGGGAAUAUUGGACAAUGGGGGGAACCCUGAUCCAGCCAUGCCGCGUGUGUGAAGAAGGCCUUAUGGUUGUAAAGCACUUUAAGCGAGGAGGAGGCUCUUUUGGUUAAUACCCAAGAUGAGUGGACGUUACUCGCAGAAUAAGCACCGGCUAACUCUGUACCAGCCGCCGCAGUAA
RNAcentral lists this ribosomal RNA (503 nucleotides) under uncultured bacterium. RNAcentral's name for it is "partial 16S ribosomal RNA". It matches the Rfam family "Bacterial small subunit ribosomal RNA", at positions 30 to 523 of the family's 1533-position model. The record is from RNAcentral.